RNAcentral lists this long non-coding RNA (416 nucleotides) under Solanum tuberosum (potato). RNAcentral's name for it is "long non-coding RNA (STUB_LNC001220)". Lineage: Eukaryota; Viridiplantae; Streptophyta; Magnoliopsida; Solanales; Solanaceae. The record is from RNAcentral.
UUAUAUCCUUGAGAGCAGAGGAAUUGCAGGUAGUCUGUGAUCUUGGUUUCGUAAACCAAACCUGGUUGCGAUGGUCCAGACAGAGUUGCUACUCCUGCACCAAAAUCAUAUGGCGUGGCAAGGUAUUCUCCAUAUGCACUAUUGACUAUCACUGGACUCUUUGUAUUGCUUUGCUGUAAAGCUAUUAAAAGGAAACAAAAGGGAUCGAAAAAAUGAGACUUGUUUUCGUAAAAUCCAUAAAUUGGAGGCACUGAUAUACUUAAAACUAUUAUCAGGUUACUACCUGUGGUCAUUAUUGCUGAUCUGAUUGCUGAUGGACUCCAGGAGGGAUUCUGAGACUUCAGUGUUGCAACAAUUGCAGAAACAUGAGCACAAGACAUGGAAGUACCUGACUCGAUGUUAAAUAGCGGUGGUUG